GGAAAGGCGCGCGAUACAGGGUGACAGCCCCGUACACAAAAAUGCACAUGCUGUGAGCUCGAUGAGUAGGGCGGGACACGUGGUAUCCUGUCUGAAUAUGGGGGGACCAUCCUCCAAGGCUAAAUACUCCUGACUGACCGAUAGUGAACCAGUACCGUGAGGGAAAGGCGAAAAGAACCCCGGCGAGGGGAGUGAAAAAGAACCUGAAACCGUGUACGUACAAGCAGUGGGAGCACGCUUAGGCGUGUGACUGCGUACCUUUUGUAUAAUGGGUCAGCGACUUAUAUUCUGUAGCAAGGUUAACCGAAUAGGGGAGCCGAAGGGAAACCGAGUCUUAACUGGGCGUUAAGUUGCAGGGUAUAGACCCGAAACCCGGUGAUCUAGCCAUGGGCAGGUUGAAGGUUGGGUAACACUAACUGGAGGACCGAACCGACUAAUGUUGAAAAAUUAGCGGAUGACUUGUGGCUGGGGGUGAAAGGCCAAUCAAACCGGGAGAUAGCUGGUUCUCCCCGAAAGCUAUUUAGGUAGCGCCUCGUGAAUUCAUCUCCGGGGGUAGAGCACUGUUUCGGCAAGGGGGUCAUCCCGACUUACCAACCCGAUGCAAACUGCGAAUACCGGAGAAUGUUAUCACGGGAGACACACGGCGGGUGCUAACGUCCGUCGUGAAGAGGGAAACAACCCAGACCGCCAGCUAAGGUCCCAAAGUCAUGGUUAAGUGGGAAACGAUGUGGGAAGGCCCAGACAGCCAGGAUGUUGGCUUAGAAGCAGCCAUCAUUUAAAGAAAGCGUAAUAGCUCACU
This 799-nucleotide ribosomal RNA is filed under the name Escherichia coli. RNAcentral describes it as "partial 23S ribosomal RNA". It matches the Rfam family "Bacterial large subunit ribosomal RNA", at positions 344 to 1146 of the family's 2925-position model. Lineage: Bacteria; Pseudomonadati; Pseudomonadota; Gammaproteobacteria; Enterobacterales; Enterobacteriaceae. The record is from RNAcentral.